This is a long non-coding RNA of Syngnathus typhle (broad-nosed pipefish), 2074 nucleotides long. RefSeq lists it as uncharacterized. NCBI's taxonomy places the organism in Eukaryota, Metazoa, Chordata, Actinopteri, Syngnathiformes, Syngnathidae. The transcript has 2 exons. The record is from RefSeq and is a predicted model, not a curated record.
UGGAGCCAGACAUGGAUAAGAUGCCCGGUGACAGAGACAACCUUUAACUGUCCUUCAGACACAUACACAGAAUACGGGAGUGAAUUGAAUGGACGGCAAUAAACAACAAAUGCGGACCAUAAAGCUCGAUGAGAGCUGUUAAUACGAUUACCUGUUUGACUUUCUGAAUCAAGUAGGAUGGUGUAAGAUAGUAGGACUGUCAAUGUGGCGACUGGAACAGCAACGAGAGACAAGUUAACUUGCAAGAAGCGACGAACGGGCCGAGCUGCUCCACUUACAAGAUUUGGCAGCACUCCAAGAUCUGAGAAAAACAUUGAGGCAUAGCUUGGUUUGAUGUCUGGAAAGAGCAGGAGGGAGGGAGGAAGAGAGAGUCCUCAUUUCCAUUUCACAGACUUGAUUCAUAGCAACACGGCAACAGAAAAGGAGAACUGUAAGAACGUAUAGUGAGAGAGUAACUGCCAGUCAGAGGGAAAUGUAAAGAUAAGGCAGACAUACAUGUUUGCAGAACAGGAGUGAAAAUAUAGAUUGACAUGACGUCGUCUUCUCGCCAAGCUAAACUCAGUGAACCCUACCACGGAGAGAGAAAGUCCAUUUGGCUCUCGGCAUUGUAAUCAACUUAACGUGGCUGGCUUUUAUGGCCGAACCAGCCAAUUGAAAAGCCAGCCAAGAAUCUGAAGGAACGUUUUACACAUCCAGCCAUGCUCCUCCUAAUUGCCGGUUGGAGCUCCAGCUUGUCCGUCUUCUCGCUCCCUCCUUCCUUUCCAGCGCCUCGACAAGAAGCCUUCAUUACGACCCUCGCGGGAGGCUGAGCCUGACUCCAAAGGAGAACUUUGAUUGAUGAAAAAAAGAGGGCGAUGUGAGUGUGUCCUCAAUACAACAUUUGCUGUGACCUUGUUUUCCCUGACAGGUCUAAAUUUAAACCAAGCGGAUCGGUUUUACAGCGAGCGGGAAAAUGUGGUCCAGAUACUCCUUUUGGCACAUUAUUGUGCUAAACAUAGAUGGGUUAGUGAAACAGCUGGCAACAUGUAAUACUUCACUGUCUCGCACAUGCCAUUCCCUACCGCCCUCCCUCCCUCCCUCCCACUCGUUACCCAUUUACCUCGCUUUAACAGCUCCAAAAUAUUUCCAUGGGUGAAAAUGCGGAGGAAUUAUAGUUGCACAAGGAUUUAUACACCUUAAACACCACAUCGCUAAUUGAGUUGGACUUUUUGACACAAUUACAUUCUACUAGUGCUACCUCACAAUGAAAACACGUCUUGUAGCAUUGUGUUUUUAGUGCGUGUCUCCAUUGUCAGCCAGCAAUGACCUUCAAAACAUGCACUUCCUCUUCAGACCAAAAAUUCCCCCACUCAUUAAGUAUUUUGGAGACGAGCCACAGCGCCGUCAGCUCGGUAUUAUGAACAUAAUGUUUUGAGCAGAUGACAGAUGAUAAAUGCAUAUUCCAAGCAACGGCAGUCUGGACUCACACAAGGUCAUAACCAGGCGGCUAAAUUUUUACCACAAAACUAUCAAUAAUGCAAUGCAAAACAUAAAUGCGAUGCUCGGACGACAUUGUGAGUUUUGCAGAAACGUAUCAUUUUAUCUCGGUGCGCAUUCUUACAAGCGAAGAGGAACAUAAAUGACUCGGAAAUAUCAGUUCAAUCACAGAGAGCUCAUAUUACACAGAGGGAUAUUUCCAAACAUUAAACGUGUCUCUGUGAUAAGAAGAGUUUGUGUUCAGUUUUUACUACGAUAUUGACAAGACAAUAGAAAACACGAUACACAGUUAUCGUUGCGCAACCUCCACAUGAAUAAAGCAAACACGUAGUCGGCUUUUUCCAGUCAGCGAGUGCACUCCUCGCUCUAAGUGUUGUUCCAGAGACAACAAAUAUGAACUGUGACCUAUCCAAGCUGUGGCCUCUUUACCCCAUCAACAUCUUUGCGUAAGGGCUGCAUGCCGAGCUACAGUUUAGUUAACCAUUAAGAGGCGAGGCGGUGAGGCAACAGACUAGCUCUUCUUGCCUCUUACUUAGUCUGAUGAACAGUCACAUAUAUCAAUCAAACAGCCAAUGAGCAUUGAUUAAACAAUAUGCCG